RNAcentral lists this transfer RNA (72 nucleotides) under Dehalococcoidia bacterium. RNAcentral describes it as "tRNA-Gly". It matches the Rfam family "tRNA". Rfam says of the family: Transfer RNA (tRNA) molecules are approximately 80 nucleotides in length. The record is from RNAcentral. Lineage: Bacteria; Bacillati; Chloroflexota; Dehalococcoidia.
GCGGGAGUAGUUCAGUGGUAGAAUAUCUGCUUCCCAAGCAGAGGGUCGCGGGUUCGAAUCCCGUCUCCCGCU